This 497-nucleotide ribosomal RNA is filed under the name uncultured bacterium. RNAcentral's name for it is "partial 16S ribosomal RNA". It matches the Rfam family "Bacterial small subunit ribosomal RNA", at positions 28 to 507 of the family's 1533-position model. The record is from RNAcentral.
GAUGAACGCUGGCGGCGUGCCUAAUACAUGCAAGUCGAGCGAACAGACGAGGAGCUUGCUCCUCUGACGUUAGCGGCGGACGGGUGAGUAACACGUGGAUAACCUACCUAUAAGACUGGGAUAACUUCGGGAAACCGGAGCUAAUACCGGAUAAUAUGUUGAACCGCAUGGUUCAAUAGUGAAAGACGGUUUUGCUGUCACUUAUAGAUGGAUCCGCGCCGCAUUAGCUAGUUGGUAAGGUAACGGCUUACCAAGGCAACGAUGCGUAGCCGACCUGAGAGGGUGAUCGGCCACACUGGAACUGAGACACGGUCCAGACUCCUACGGGAGGCAGCAGUAGGGAAUCUUCCGCAAAGGGCGAAAGCUUGACGGAGCAACGCCGCGUGAGUGAUGAAGGUCUUCGGAUCGUAAAACUCUGUUAUUAGGGAAGAACAAAUGUGUAAGUAACUAUGCACGUCUUGACGGUACCUAAUCAGAAAGCCACGGCUAACUACGUG